RNAcentral lists this long non-coding RNA (379 nucleotides) under Rattus norvegicus (Norway rat). RNAcentral's name for it is "long non-coding RNA NONRATT024114". Lineage: Eukaryota; Metazoa; Chordata; Mammalia; Rodentia; Muridae. The record is from RNAcentral.
CUUGAGUGUUGGGAUGGUACCCAGCUAUCUCUUACCCUAGGAAAGGGCAAUGUCAAAAGUGGGCCUCACAUCCCCCGUUCUGCCCUGAGGUACUACACAGCAACACAGACCCUUAGCUUUUGGAUGGAGAAAAACUUUUGUCUUGGGCUAGCCUCAAACACCUCCCUGGUGCUGCUCUUUCCUGCAGGAGUUUUUGUUUUGUUUUGUUUGUUUAUAAAGGGUGCCUUUUUAAGGUUUAUGUUCCAAUCAGUUUCAGCCAGUAUACCCACCCCUAAAACAAACCACCAGAAAGCAAGAUGCAGGUGGCUUAUGUACUUUUUGUCCCCAGGUAGGUGUUAGCUGCCUGGUAUGUAUUUUUGAAACCCCCUUUAAAUUUGCC